AUGGGAAGCAGUUCCCAGCCUAUUGCGACCGUUUACGGUUGCUUAAUUGAGAGGAAGCCACCAUGGCACUCAGCGCAGUAGAAAAAGCCCAAAUCGUAACUGACUACCAACAAGCUGCU
This 119-nucleotide non-coding RNA is filed under the name Pseudomonas marincola. Its description in RNAcentral is "S15". The stretch from base 21 to 119 matches the Rfam family "Ribosomal S15 leader". From Rfam's summary of the family: The E. coli Ribosomal S15 gene 5' UTR can form two alternative structures. One that is a series of three hairpins, The other includes a pseudoknot. The record is from RNAcentral. Lineage: Bacteria; Pseudomonadati; Pseudomonadota; Gammaproteobacteria; Pseudomonadales; Pseudomonadaceae.